This 860-nucleotide ribosomal RNA is filed under the name uncultured Bacillota bacterium. RNAcentral's name for it is "bacterial SSU rRNA". It matches the Rfam family "Bacterial small subunit ribosomal RNA", at positions 28 to 865 of the family's 1533-position model. The record is from RNAcentral. Lineage: Bacteria; Bacillati; Bacillota.
GACGAACGCUGGCGGCGUGCUUAACACAUGCAAGUCUAACGGAGAAUUUAUUUCGGUAAAUUCUUAGUGGCGAACGGGUGAGUAACGCGUAGGCAACCUGCCCUCCAGUUGGGGACAACAUUCCGAAAGGAAUGCUAAUACCGAAUGUGAUCCUUCUUCCGCAUGGAGGAAGGAUGAAAGAUGGCCUCUAUUUAUAAGCUAUCGCUGGAAGAUGGGCCUGCGUCUGAUUAGCUAGUUGGUGGGGUAACGGCUCACCAAGGCGAUGAUCAGUAGCCGGUCUGAGAGGAUGAGCGGCCACAUUGGGACUGAGACACGGCCCAAACUCCUACGGGAGGCAGCAGUGGGGAAUCUUCCGCAAUGGACGAAAGUCUGACGGAGCAACGCCGCGUGAGUGAUGAAGGUCUUCGGAUUGUAAAACUCUGUUGUCAGGGACGAAUGUGCGAACGUUGAAUAAGCGUUUGUAUUGACGGUACCUGACGAGGAAGCCACGGCUAACUACGUGCCAGCAGCCGCGGUAAUACGUAGGUGGCAAGCGUUGUCCGGAAUUAUUGGGCGUAAAGAGCAUGUAGGCGGGCUUUUAAGUCCGACGUGAAAAUGCGGGGCUUAACCCCGUAUGGCGUUGGAUACUGGAAGUCUUGAGUGCAGGAGAGGAAAGGGGAAUUCCCAGUGUAGCGGUGAAAUGCGUAGAUAUUGGGAGGAACACCAGUGGCGAAGGCGCCCUUCUGGACUGUGUCUGACGCUGAGAUGCGAAAGCCAGGGUAGCAAACGGGAUUAGAUACCCCGGUAGUCCUGGCCGUAAACGAUGGGUACUAGGUGUAGGAGGUAUCGACCCCUUCUGUGCCGGAGUUAACGCAAUAAGU